RNAcentral lists this ribosomal RNA (252 nucleotides) under uncultured bacterium. RNAcentral describes it as "partial 16S ribosomal RNA". It matches the Rfam family "Bacterial small subunit ribosomal RNA", at positions 524 to 776 of the family's 1533-position model. The record is from RNAcentral.
UACGUAGGUGGCAAGCGUUGUCCGGAAUUACUGGGUGUAAAGCGCGUGUAGGCGGCAGGCCAAGUCUGCGGUGAAAGCGCCCGGCUCAACUGGGCGAGGUCCGUGGAAACUGGUCAGCUGGAGGACGGUAGAGGCGAGUGGAAUUCCCGGUGUAGUGGUGAAAUGCGUAGAGAUCGGGAGGAACACCUGUGGCGAAGGCGGCUCGCUGGGCCGGUCCUGACGCUGAGACGCGAAGGCGUGGGAGCGAACGGG